AGAGUUUGAUCAUGGCUCAGAACGAACGCUGGCGGCAGGCUUAACACAUGCAAGUCGAACGCACUCUUCGGAGUGAGUGGCAGACGGGUGAGUAACGCGUGGGAACGUACCCUUCAGUUCGGAAUAACCCAGGGAAACUUGGGCUAAUACCGGAUACGUCCGUAAGGAGAAAGAUUUAUCGCUGAAGGAUCGGCCCGCGUCGGAUUAGCUAGUUGGUGGGGUAACGGCCCACCAAGGCGACGAUCCGUAGCUGGUCUGAGAGGAUGAUCAGCCACACUGGGACUGAGACACGGCCCAGACUCCUACGGGAGGCAGCAGUGGGGAAUAUUGGUCAAUGGGCGCAAGCCUGAACCAGCCAUGCCGCGUGAGUGAAGAAGGCCUUAGGGUUGUAAAGCUCUUUCAGCGGGGACGAUAAUGACGGUACCCGCAGAAGAAGCCCCGGCUAACUUCGUGCCAGCAGCCGCGGUAAUACGAAGGGGGCUAGCGUUGUUCGGAAUUACUGGGCGUAAAGCGCGCGUAGGCGGAUAUUUAAGUCAGGGGUGAAAUCCCAGGGCUCAACCCUGGAACUGCCUUUGAUACUGGAUGUCUGGAGUUCGGGAGAGGUGAGUGGAAUUCCGAGUGUAGAGGUGAAAUUUGUAGAUAUUCGGAGGAACACCAGAAGCGAAGGCGGCUCACUGGCCCGAUACUGACGCUGAGGCGCGAAAGCGUGGGGAGCAAACAGGAUUAGAUACCCUAGUAGUCC
This 742-nucleotide ribosomal RNA is filed under the name uncultured bacterium. RNAcentral's name for it is "bacterial SSU rRNA". It matches the Rfam family "Bacterial small subunit ribosomal RNA", at positions 8 to 796 of the family's 1533-position model. The record is from RNAcentral.